UUGUUUUUUGAUUUUAAUCAAGUAAUUCAGACGACAUGGUUAGAUACAAGAGUUUGUGGUUGGGCCAUCGGCGAACGCUCUCCAGGGGGAAGACCCCCGGCGGCCACGACCAGUUGGUCGCGACCGGUCCGCCGAAGCAACGACAAGGUAAAAUAGACAAAGGGUUGGGAGGUCGGGCUCGUUGGACGAACCCUAACUCGGUAAUGAUCCUUCCGCAGGUUCACCUACGGAAA
RNAcentral lists this unclassified non-coding RNA (233 nucleotides) under uncultured fungus. Its description in RNAcentral is "sequence contains ITS1". The record is from RNAcentral. Lineage: Eukaryota; Fungi.